Molecule: long non-coding RNA, 4580 nt
Organism: Myxocyprinus asiaticus (Chinese sucker)
Lineage: Eukaryota; Metazoa; Chordata; Actinopteri; Cypriniformes; Catostomidae
Exons: 3
Source: RefSeq, a predicted model, not a curated record
UUAUUUAUUCAGCUUCUUAAGUAUUUUAAAACGACAACAGUGAAAAUACGCUGGCGCUUUGAGAGACAGUCUCCCGCUUGCCUUUCCGCCAGGAUUUAUACCGUCUUUUGCAGGGGCAGUGUUGCCAAUUUAGCGACUUUUCAGACCCUUUUAGUUUUUUUUUUUUUUCUAAAAAGCACCUAGCAUCAAAUCUAGCGACUUUUUGUACAAAUCGAACGCUCGACCACUCCCCCGCCGCCACAGUGUCCUAUUCUGCUUAAUCAUACAGACAGGGGCUGUUCACAUCAAACCGGUUUUUGUGUCGUCUUUGUCCAUUAUGCUGUGUUUUUACAGCGUUUCGCUCAUGAGCAUGCUGUGUCAAGUUAAGAGAAUUGCAACUUUUAAAAACGUGCCUCAAGACACUGGCGUUCUGAUCCAUUUGAUUUGCUGCAUCUAUUGUAUUUCAAUUUUUAAAGUCCACAUUCAGUCUGAACAGCCCCAUAGUGGCACUGCAUAAUCUAAAUCAGGCCCAGGUGAUGUACAGUUGUGUCUUGUCUCUGGCAAAUAGCAUUUCAUUACAUUCAGGUUGCUCAAAGGAACUGUCAAUGGAUGAUUUCAGUAAGAAAAAGACGUAUACAUCCUGAGAACAUCAAAAUCCUACAUACUAGAGUAAAAUAUGAGAUAUUUAUAAAUGCUUUUUUAUGAACCUUGGCAAAGGAGAGGGAUUUUAUGUGGUAGGUGUUUCUUUAAUUUCAUUUUGCUCUUUUGUUUUUUGAUGUUAGGGCCACUGUGAGGAUCAUGCCACACUGCUUUGUAGUCUGCUUUUGGGUUUUGGGCUGGAUGCUUAUGUAUGUGUGGGCACCAAAUACAUUCCACACACCUGGGUCAUGACCUGCGGCGCAGAUGGCUCUGUUCCAUUUUGGGAAAGUUUCACUGCACACAGGAUCUCGGUCUAGCCACAGUCAUACCUGCUGUCGGAAGCACUCUUGGCAUUUGAACUCGAGCACUGUACUGGUGUGUCGUGGAAACGAGGAUGCUGUGAGAAGGGCGGUGCCGGAAAGACACACUUUUAAAGGCUUUUCUAUUCACAUCUUGCACCGCAGUGCAUGCAGGGCGUUUGCUACCUGCCUCAGGCGCUUUCUCACACACACAUAAACAUACUGAGCCACCUUUUAAUGUAUUUUCCCUUUUAAAUUCAAAGAAAUGGUUCAUCCAAAAAUGAAAACGCUGUCAUCAUUUACUCACCCCAAUCUAGGGCUGUUACUAUUGUGAAUUUGGCUGAUGAUUAAUUGUCAAACAAAUCAUUAAGAUUAUGACUAAUAAAUUGUCUGUUUUAGGGCUAUGACGAUUAUUUGUCAUGUAAAUUGUCAUAUUUCUUAAGGUGCAUGUGUGCUUCAUAAGCCUUAACAUGUCAUUUUUACAUAUUUAAAUUCAAAUAUAUACACCGAAUAAUAAAACAGGGGUAUAUAAUUUCCUUAUAAGGCUUUAAAAACGUAUAAAUGACAUGAGAAAUAAUGUUUAAAAUAUCAAAAUAUUUCUGAAUACUUAAAAUAUGUCUCUCGUUUUGGUCAGCUUUAUGUUUUAUAAAUGUUUUAUAUUGUAUUGUAUUAUUUUAUAUUAUAUUUAGGGCUGUCAAAUGAUAAAAAUAUUUGAUUGCGAUUAAUCGCAUAAUUUGAGGUAAUGAGGUAAAUAUAGGCAGGGAACUAAUAGUGAUCAGGUGCCGCUCGCUCAAAGAAAGUUGGAAUGAUCAGCGUUCCCAUGGAAAUAACAUUACGCAAGCCAGCGACACCUGAAUCAAUAGAGGAAACAUGUAAACACAAACUGGAACAAAUCAGUGGUAUAUUUUGAUAUUUAAAACAUUAUUUUUUAUGUUAUUCCUUAGUUUUUAAGCCUUAAAAGGAAAUCAUAUUUCCCUAUUUUAUUAUUUGAUUUAUAUAUUUGAAGUUAAAUAUGUUCAAAAUAAGGACUUAAGGUAUAUAAAACACACAUGCACCUUAAUCAACCGUGAAAGCCCUUAAUUAAUCAUCAAUUAAUCAUCAUAGCCCUAAAACAGACAAUUAAUCGUCAAAAAAAUUAAAAUAAAAUAAAAAAAUUGAGUUUGACAAUUAAUCGUCAGCCAAAUUUCAUAAUUGUGUCAGUCCUACUAAUGGGUGUGGAACAACAUGAGGGUGAGUACAUGAUGUCAGAAUUUUCAUUUUCUUGGUGAACUUUCUUUUAGCAAUGACAAAUAUACACAUACAGCCAAAAGCCUUUCUUUCCUUUUUCUUUUAAGUAGUGUUGUCUGUCUUUUUGUUUUCUUUUUUUAUCACUUAGGUCUCCGUUCUGUGAAGAGAUAGUUUGCUGUUGAGGGGCUCAUGUACAACUGGCAGUGAGGGUUCGUGUGUUUGCUUAUCCGGAGUCAGCCUGUGCUGUGUGGAUCAUGUUUGCUUGCAAGUACAGAUCCGUGCUGUGAUUGAGAGCAGCACCAGGUUUACACCACUCUCUUUAAACUAUCUGCAGUUUAGAGUUUUGGGAGUUUUGGAAUUACAAGAAUGCCAUUUAUUUCAUCUGCUAUAUGCUGGUCUUGUAUCUGCAGUACAGUUCUAUCUUCUUUAUAUGUAUAGAAUGUGUGUCAUUUGGAAACUGUUUAAAAAUAUUUAUAGAGAUAUUUUUCUAAGUAAAACACUCUUACAUUCCUUAUUUGUCCUUGUUAUCUCUUUCCUGUUGUUGAGUCAUUUAAUGUAUCAAUGCCUCAGUUAAUUGAAGGUUGUCAGUUGUUUAGGACUUUUGCAUGCAUUGCCUUUCAGAUUCCCUUCAUUCAGAUUUCCCACUUUCUUUAAUUCCAUUGCACCACAAAGAUUUUCAAAAUGAUUCUGUAUGCACAUCCAGGUAUGUUUUCUAUUUGCACAGAUCUAUUGUUGUUAAGUGCUUGUGGAUCUGGCAUUGGACAGUUUACAUGUUGUCUCCAUGCCAACUGAUGAUCUCAUGGGCUUGGCCAGAAAAACUUGUUAAUGCCAUUGUGGUGCAUGCAUUUUACAUCUGUAUCGUCCCUCUCCACAUUCAUAAUGAUAAAUGUCCAAGUGUGUGGGUCAUUUUCAUUUGCCACACCACACAGCUGUGUAAGAAUGUCUUCAGGAUGUAAUGCAGUGGGGAAUAUGUCUGAAUUACUUGUAAAAUAUUUCAAAAUGUAAAUGGGUAUUUUUGUUAAGGGUAGUCAAGAUAACACUUGUCAAGUGUUGCCCUCUAGAAAAUUAAGAAAAGGCGCAAUAGGGAAAUAGUUACAAGUAAGGUGAAAAAAAACAUUGCCAAGUAAAUGAAAUCAAACAGUCAAAUUCUAUUAAUUAGAAAGGUGGUUUCCAUAUACUUCAUACUUUUGACCACGAACUGUAGUGUAAACAGAUAUAGGCCUCAUAGUAAUGUUUAACUUUGGCCAGUAGAUGGCAAUAUACACUUGGCAACAAAACAAUUGCACAGUAUAGCCUCUACACCAGAUUAAAGGGAUAAUUCCCCUUAAAAAGGAAAAAUCUCUCUUCAUUUACUCACCCUCAUGCCAUAUAAUAAGUUGUCUAUAAUUAUAAGAAUCUAUAAAUUCUCCUCUCUGCCCAGUAGGUGGCAGUAUGCACUAAGAAUGUGAAUCGCCAAUAACAAAAGAAGAAUGUAAAAGUGAAAGUGGAGAUUUAAAGUAAAUAGGACUUAUUGAUCUUGUUCUCACCCACACCUAUCAUAUUGCUUCAGAAGACAUGAAUUUAACCACUGGAGUCUUGGGGAUUAUUUAUAUGCUGCCUUUGUGCUAUUUGGAGCUUCAAAGUUCUGGCCUAACUGUUCACUUGCAUUGUUUGGCCCUACAGAGCUGAGAUAUUCUUCUAAAAAUCUUCAUUUGUGUUCUGCAGAAGAAAGAAAGCCAUACACAUCUUGGAUGGCAUGAGGGUGCAAUUGUCUAAUGGGUCUGCAGGGACAGGCACGUCAUCUCAUCAGACCAGUGACAACGACACGCACACCGCUAACACCGUGCUGACAAGAAUGGCUGUUGAUUAUCUGAGAAGUUUGACUUGAUGUGUUGUUUUGGAAACCACAUUUUUCAGACUCUGUGUUGUUAAUUGAUAGAAUUGUUUUUAACCUGCUGGAGUCCUAGUGUAAUUUUCCUUUGCUUCUUUUACUUAUCUACUAUGCAAGUUUUCUUAGUUCUCAAUUAAAAUUAUGAUUUUAAAAUAAGUAACAAGUAACAAUUUAAUAUAAUGUCAUUUUUAUUUUUUGAAUAAACACACACACACACACACAAUAUUUAAGUCAAAUGAAGCCUUACAUAUUGCAUUAAUAUUUUACUUUUUUAUUUUUAUUAACCACGUUAGCUCAUUCACAGUAUCAUUUACAAAUAUGAAGAAUGCUCAAAAAUAUGAUGAUGAAACAUGAAUAUUAACAAUGGAGUAAAAAUUGUGCCAGUUUGUAAUUGCGCAGCAUGCAUUAUCCAAUUACAAACACUGUAAAUUGCAAAUGAGAUGCUUCAGAGUACAAAAGCGUAGUGCAUAAAAGGUAAAAUGGCUUCAACAUGUCUAAUUCAAGAAAGACCUGCCACUUUUUUGAUGAAACAAAUACCUGUAACACCUUUUUUGUCAUUAAUGAAA